Molecule: ribosomal RNA, 221 nt
Filed under: uncultured bacterium
Lineage: Bacteria
Description: partial 16S ribosomal RNA
Rfam family: Bacterial small subunit ribosomal RNA
Source: RNAcentral
UACGUAGGGUCCGAGCGUUGUCCGGAAUUACUGGGCGUAAAGCGUGCGCAGGCGGCUUCUUAGGCAUGACGUGAAAAGCCCCCGGGGCUCAACCCGGGGAGGGUCGUCGUGAACCGGGGGGCUUGAGGCCGGUAGAGGUGGGUGGAACUCCUGGUGGAGUGGUGAAAUGCGUAGAGAUCAGGAAGAACACCCGUGGCGAAGGCGGCCCACUGGGCCGGUAC